Molecule: ribosomal RNA, 1477 nt
Filed under: Limosilactobacillus fermentum
Lineage: Bacteria; Bacillati; Bacillota; Bacilli; Lactobacillales; Lactobacillaceae
Description: bacterial SSU rRNA
Rfam family: Bacterial small subunit ribosomal RNA
Source: RNAcentral
CGUGGGGGGGUGCUAAUACAUGCAAGUCGAACGCGUUGGCCCAAUUGAUUGAUGGUGCUUGCACCUGAUUGAUUUUGGUCGCCAACGAGUGGCGGACGGGUGAGUAACACGUAGGUAACCUGCCCAGAAGCGGGGGACAACAUUUGGAAACAGAUGCUAAUACCGCAUAACAGCGUUGUUCGCAUGAACAACGCUUAAAAGAUGGCUUCUCGCUAUCACUUCUGGAUGGACCUGCGGUGCAUUAGCUUGUUGGUGGGGUAACGGCCUACCAAGGCGAUGAUGCAUAGCCGAGUUGAGAGACUGAUCGGCCACAAUGGGACUGAGACACGGCCCAUACUCCUACGGGAGGCAGCAGUAGGGAAUCUUCCACAAUGGGCGCAAGCCUGAUGGAGCAACACCGCGUGAGUGAAGAAGGGUUUCGGCUCGUAAAGCUCUGUUGUUAAAGAAGAACACGUAUGAGAGUAACUGUUCAUACGUUGACGGUAUUUAACCAGAAAGUCACGGCUAACUACGUGCCAGCAGCCGCGGUAAUACGUAGGUGGCAAGCGUUAUCCGGAUUUAUUGGGCGUAAAGAGAGUGCAGGCGGUUUUCUAAGUCUGAUGUGAAAGCCUUCGGCUUAACCGGAGAAGUGCAUCGGAAACUGGAUAACUUGAGUGCAGAAGAGGGUAGUGGAACUCCAUGUGUAGCGGUGGAAUGCGUAGAUAUAUGGAAGAACACCAGUGGCGAAGGCGGCUACCUGGUCUGCAACUGACGCUGAGACUCGAAAGCAUGGGUAGCGAACAGGAUUAGAUACCCUGGUAGUCCAUGCCGUAAACGAUGAGUGCUAGGUGUUGGAGGGUUUCCGCCCUUCAGUGCCGGAGCUAACGCAUUAAGCACUCCGCCUGGGGAGUACGACCGCAAGGUUGAAACUCAAAGGAAUUGACGGGGGCCCGCACAAGCGGUGGAGCAUGUGGUUUAAUUCGAAGCUACGCGAAGAACCUUACCAGGUCUUGACAUCUUGCGCCAACCCUAGAGAUAGGGCGUUUCCUUCGGGAACGCAAUGACAGGUGGUGCAUGGUCGUCGUCAGCUCGUGUCGUGAGAUGUUGGGUUAAGUCCCGCAACGAGCGCAACCCUUGUUACUAGUUGCCAGCAUUAAGUUGGGCACUCUAGUGAGACUGCCGGUGACAAACCGGAGGAAGGUGGGGACGACGUCAGAUCAUCAUGCCCCUUAUGACCUGGGCUACACACGUGCUACAAUGGACGGUACAACGAGUCGCGAACUCGCGAGGGCAAGCAAAUCUCUUAAAACCGUUCUCAGUUCGGACUGCAGGCUGCAACUCGCCUGCACGAAGUCGGAAUCGCUAGUAAUCGCGGAUCAGCAUGCCGCGGUGAAUACGUUCCCGGGCCUUGUACACACCGCCCGUCACACCAUGAGAGUUUGUAACACCCAAAGUCGGUGGGGUAACCUUUUAGGAGCCAGCCGCCUAAGGGGACUGG